RNAcentral lists this ribosomal RNA (118 nucleotides) under uncultured bacterium. RNAcentral describes it as "partial 16S ribosomal RNA". It matches the Rfam family "Bacterial small subunit ribosomal RNA", at positions 1358 to 1482 of the family's 1533-position model. The record is from RNAcentral.
UACGGUGAAUACGUUCCCGGACCUUGUACACACCGCCCGUCAAGCCAUGGAAGCUGGGUGUACCUAAAGUCGGUAACCGCAAGGAGCCGCCGUAAGGGUAAAACUAGUAACUGGGGCU